GGUGAGGAUUAGAGCAACAGAGACGAGCCGAUUCAGUUCGGGUGAAACGGGCAAUCUCUACGCGCAGCAAUACCAAGUAGGCACACGUUGACGGGGCCCCCGGAGUGUGCGGGUAGGUAGCAUCGAGCUGUUGGGUGACCAACAGCCCAGAGUAAUGGCAGUCACUUCUGCAGGUCCGCAAGGGUCUGCAGUUGCACAGAAUCCGGCUUAUCGGUGGGCUUCACAC
This 226-nucleotide RNase P RNA is filed under the name Rhodoferax sp. Its description in RNAcentral is "partial RNase P RNA component class A". It matches the Rfam family "Bacterial RNase P class A", at positions 98 to 367 of the family's 367-position model. From Rfam's summary of the family: Ribonuclease P (RNase P) is a ubiquitous endoribonuclease, found in archaea, bacteria and eukarya as well as chloroplasts and mitochondria. Its best characterised activity is the generation of mature 5'-ends of tRNAs by cleaving the 5'-leader elements of precursor-tRNAs. Cellular RNase Ps are ribonucleoproteins. Lineage: Bacteria; Pseudomonadati; Pseudomonadota; Betaproteobacteria; Burkholderiales; Comamonadaceae. The record is from RNAcentral.